RNAcentral lists this ribosomal RNA (878 nucleotides) under Parmotrema reticulatum. RNAcentral's name for it is "partial large subunit ribosomal RNA". It matches the Rfam family "Eukaryotic large subunit ribosomal RNA", at positions 25 to 921 of the family's 3401-position model. Lineage: Eukaryota; Fungi; Ascomycota; Lecanoromycetes; Lecanorales; Parmeliaceae. The record is from RNAcentral.
CCGCUGANGUUAAGCAUAUNNNUNAGCGGUAGAAAAGAAAUCACGGGGAUUGCCUCGUAACGGCGAGUGAAGCGGCAACAGCUCAAAUUUGAAAUCUGGCCCUUCGGGGUCCGAGUUGUAAUUUGUAGAGAGUGUUUCGGGGGAGACCGCGGUCUAAGUCCAUUGGAACAUGGGGUCAUAGAGGGUGAGAAUCCCGUAUGCGACCGUGGAUCGAACCCAUGUGAAGCCUCUUCGACGAGUCGAGUUGUUUGGGAAUGCAGCUCAAAAUGGGUGGUAAAUNUNAUCUAAAGCUAAAUACUGGCUGGAGACCGAUAGCGCACAAGUAGAGNNAUCGAAAGAUGAAAAGCACUUUGGAAAGAGAGUUAAACAGUACGUGAAAUUGUUGAAAGGGAAGCGCUNGCAACCAGACCUGCCCGUAGGCGAUCNGUCGCUGUUCUCAGUGGUGCACUCGCUUUCCGAUCAGGCCAGCAUCGGUUUCGGCGGUCGGAUAAAGGCCUUGGGAAUGUGGCUCCCUUUCGGGGGAGUGUUAUAGCCCUCGGUGCAAUGCGGCCAGCCGGGACCGAGGACCGCGCUUCGGCUAGGAUGCUGGCGUAAUGGUUGUCAGCGACCCGUCUUGAAACACGGACCAAGGAGUCUAACAUNUAUCCGAGUGUUUGGGUGUCAAACCCAUGCGCGGAAUGAAAGUGAACGGAGGUGAGAACCCUUAAGGGCGCAUCAUCGACCGAUCCAGAUGUCUUCCGAUGGAUUUGAGUAUGAUCAUAGCUGUUGGGACCNGACAGAUGGUGAACUAUGCCUGAAUAGGGUGAAGCCAGAGGAAACUCUGGUGGAGGCUCGCAGCGGUUCUGACGUGCAAAUCGAUCGUCAAAUUUGGGUAUAGG